Molecule: long non-coding RNA, 1071 nt
Filed under: Canis lupus dingo (dingo)
Lineage: Eukaryota; Metazoa; Chordata; Mammalia; Carnivora; Canidae
Description: lncRNA (ENSCAFG00020027229.1)
Source: RNAcentral
GCCCAGGUACAGCCCGCGGGGCCUGGCGCGGACGCCCUCGGGUCCGGACGACUGCUCGUGGUGCGGCAAGAGCCUCAGGGAGCGGGCCGGCUUCCUCGCUCAAGUUCCGGGAGCCCUUUCAGGAAACCAAGCGGUGAAGACUUCUGCUCCUCCGCAGGACCCUGCACACUGGACGUUUCCGUCGGAAGGCGGGGGUUUCUAAGGCGGAGCGUUCUCAGCCGCGCGCGGCCCGAAGAGGUCCUUAAGGAGCCCAGGGUCAACCUGCUGGAAUCGCGGUUUAUGGAGGCUUUUAUUUAUUUUUUUUAAAGAUUUUAUUUAUUCACGAGACACACACAUAGAGAAAGAGACCCAGGCAGAGGGCGAAGCAGGCUCCGUGCAGGGAGCCCGACGCGGGACUCGAUCCCGGGGCUCCAGGACGGCGCUGAACCGCCGAGCCGCCGGGGCUGCCCGUUUAUGGAGGCUUUUACAAAAAUCACAAAAAUAAGCGCUUUUAUGUUGUCAGGCAGAUUUUACAUACAGACAGAUCAUCAAAUUCCCGUACGGUGGAGACAUCUAUUUUUACUAAAUCAUUCCAGUUCGCCCUCCCCGCCACAGCCGUGACAAGGAAUUUGCUGCGAUUGCUGCCGCAUUGGCUCCGGAAACCCGGCGGCGUGGACGUGGGUUCGAGCCCGAGGGAGACGGAGCGUCGUUAACUCGUCACCCCGUGUGCGGCUCCCGGCGGCGGAGGAGGCGCAGCCGCGGCUCGGGAGCCCUGGAGGAGUCACGUGGCCGCGGACACGCCUCUGGAGUCGUCGCCGCCUGCCGCGGCCCGGGCGGAGCGGCCUUGGCGGAGGCGGACUAACUAACUAAACGGGCCCCGGCCAGGCCGCAAUUGUCAAGUGGGUUUUCAUUGUUUAAAAAAAAAAAAAAAGAUUUUAAAAAGCUUGAGAGGGGUGGGGAGCGGGAUAGAGCGUGUGACUCGUGACCUCAGGGUGGUGAGUUCCAGCCCCACCUAGGGAGCAGAGCCUACUUUAUUCAUUUUUAAAGAUUUUAUUUAAAAAAAAUAAAGAUUUUAUUUAUUCAUGAGAAACA